Molecule: ribosomal RNA, 435 nt
Filed under: uncultured bacterium
Lineage: Bacteria
Description: bacterial SSU rRNA
Rfam family: Bacterial small subunit ribosomal RNA
Source: RNAcentral
AACGCGAAGAACCUUACCUAAGCUUGACAUCCUUUUGACAGAUGCCUAAUCGCAUCUUUCCCUUCGGGGACAGAAGUGACAGGUGGUGCAUGGUUGUCGUCAGCUCGUGUCGUGAGAUGUUGGGUUAAGUCCCGCAACGAGCGCAACCCUUGCCUUUAGUUGCCAGCAUUAAGUUGGGCACUCUAGAGGGACUGCCAGGGAUAACCUGGAGGAAGGUGGGGAUGACGUCAAAUCAUCAUGCCCCUUAUGCUUAGGGCUACACACGUGCUACAAUGGGUGGUACAGAGGGCAGCCAAGUCGUGAGGCGGAGCUAAUCCCUUAAAGCCAUUCUCAGUUCGGAUUGUAGGCUGAAACUCGCCUACAUGAAGCUGGAGUUAAUAGUAAUCGCAGAUCAGAAUGCUGCGGUGAAUGCGUUCACGGGCCUUGUACACACCG